ACCAAAAGGCUAUUCUACGGUGGACUUAGACCUGACAAAAGUGACAGCUUUAGAGGAGGGACAUGUUUGUCCAUUGGCCCGGUCCCCACCUGGCUGUCUUCAUUUUUUCAUAUUUCCUGCCUGACCUUGGAGCCAUUUGAUUCAUGACAUAUCCAUUAUCAUGUUCACAUGAGUAAAAAGUAAAAAGUCCUGGAAAAGAAUGGGAAAACCUGGAAUCUAAUCCUGCCUCUGGCAUUUACCAAGAUGGGGUUUGAGAUCAACUACUUGAUCUCUCUGGGCCUCAUUUUCUCCCUUUAUAAGAAAUGGAAGACUUGAAACCAGAUGCCUACUUGAGCAAAUACUUCAGAGAAGAUCUUCAUUUAGAGGGUAAUCAGCAAAAAAAGGUUUGUGUCUAUGACUUUUAUCAGUUUUCAGAGGGGGAGGAUGGUGGUGAAUUGCUAGUGUGUAUUUGAAGUGGGAAGGGAAAUCAGUAAGUUUGGGGCAGGAAUGCAGAGGGAGGACGGCAGCCACAGAAAGGGCACUGGGAAGAGUUCUUGGCUUUCUUCAGUGGUCCCUGGGAUGGAGAGAGAUAGAGAAGCUCUAUCUCAGUUUAGUUCUAAACUAAAGAGACAUAGAGAAGCUCUGGGUGGAGAACAGGCAGUUUAGUUCUCCUGACUUUUAACAGAUGUUCUUUCCCUUGUUAAUCUUCUCAGCCAUGAUGAUGUUGCUUAAAGGAGCUUUAUCUCUGGGGAGUCAUUACUCACUAUGCCAGUGAAUGUUCAGAUGAACCACAGGCAAGACGGACCCUCAAUAGCUCACACUCUAUUGGGGGGCAGAUGCAGGUCCCCAUCCUAAGUUAGGAUUAAGUUUCUUCCCCCUUCUUAUUGUUGGUUCCAGUCACUUUGGAUCUCUCCUAGAAAAUAGACUGAUUAGGGGUGCCUGUGUGGCUCAGUUGGUUAAGCAGACUGACUCUUGAUUUUGGCUCAGGUUCUGAUUUUGUGCUUCAUG
Long non-coding RNA from Leopardus geoffroyi (Geoffroy's cat), 987 nucleotides. RefSeq lists it as uncharacterized. The transcript is spliced from 3 exons. The record is from RefSeq and is a predicted model, not a curated record. NCBI's taxonomy places the organism in Eukaryota, Metazoa, Chordata, Mammalia, Carnivora, Felidae.